UUUGGUACUUGAUCGAGUACUUGAUGCAUGUUGAUAAGUCUAUUAAAGAAGUGAUGGUAAAUUAUCAUCAGUUAGUUGUAUAUUUGUACUGUUUGUUCUCAUCUCCCUUUAUUUUCUCUCUCGUAGGAGCUUGUGGCUUUAAAAGACUUUCAUGUAUUUAAUGGAGAUGCUGAGUCAGCAUGUCAGGUUAUUUUAGACUCUCCUUAUUAUGAAAUGUUAUCAGCUCACGGGUCUGCCAGAGUUGUUUUUGAUUUAAGAAUUGCUUUAAAAGUAGCUGUAACUUUAUACAUUAAUUGUUACGCUGAGUCUGUUAAUUGCUAAGGAGUGAGGUGGCAUUUUCAAGGGAAAGAAAGGAGUUAUCUGAUCUUGAUUCAGAGACAAGAGAUAUGGUUGAGAAGAUGAUGUAUGAAUAGAGACAGAAAGAGAGAGGUCUCCCCACGUCUGAUGAACAAAAGAAGCAAGAUAUAUUGAAGAAUUGUAGAUUUAUGGAACAGCAUCCUGAA
Molecule: long non-coding RNA, 503 nt
Filed under: Amphimedon queenslandica
Lineage: Eukaryota; Metazoa; Porifera; Demospongiae; Haplosclerida; Niphatidae
Description: uncharacterized LOC109585518, transcript variant X3
Source: RNAcentral